This 698-nucleotide long non-coding RNA is filed under the name Homo sapiens (human). RNAcentral's name for it is "HSALNT0008621". The record is from RNAcentral. Lineage: Eukaryota; Metazoa; Chordata; Mammalia; Primates; Hominidae.
AUUUGGGCGGGGCCAGGGGCAGAAUGAUAUGGUUUGGCUGUGUCUCUACCCAAAUCUCAUUUUUAAUUGUAACUCCCAGAAUUCCCACGUAUUGUGGGAGGAACCUGGUGGGAAGUAAUUGAAUCGUGGGGGCGAUCUUUCCCAUGCUGUUCUCAUGACAGUGAAUAAGUCUCAAGAUCUGACGGUUUUAAAAAUGGGAGUUUCCCUGCGCAAGCUCUCUUCUCUUGUCUGCCACAGUGUGAGACGUGUCUCUCACCUUCCACCAUGAUUGUGGGGCCUUUCCAGCCACAUGGAACUAUAAGAAACAAUCUCAGGAUAAUGCAGUGCUAGCCCACUAACAAGGGAUGGAUUCGAAAAUUAAUCCCUGGUCUACAUAUACCAAAGUCAAAACUCUUCUCAUAACACAUGACCACCCCCAUGCGGAGAUGGAUUGCUACACACCAGGGAAACAAACACAGUGCCCUCAAUGGAAUAACAGCUUAAUAAAUAUUUGCUGAAUAAAAGAAUAAAGAAGUUUCCUAAAAAUAUAAUCCCUACAUGAACAUUGUUUUAUAUUUUGUUUCUUGUUGGUGAUAUUUUUCCACCUUUAGUUAUAUCUCUAUAUGGCUGUGGAACAUAGAAAUGUAUUCAAUAAUUGGAAAUCACACUUUCUCAUACAUGGGAAAUUUUAGGCAAUAUGCUAAAUAAACAAUUUUAAC